RNAcentral lists this ribosomal RNA (503 nucleotides) under uncultured bacterium. RNAcentral describes it as "partial 16S ribosomal RNA". It matches the Rfam family "Bacterial small subunit ribosomal RNA", at positions 30 to 523 of the family's 1533-position model. The record is from RNAcentral.
AUUGAACGCUGGCGGCAGGCUUAACACAUGCAAGUCGUGCAGGGUGAUGGUGCUUGCACUAUCACUUAGCGGCGGACGGGUGAGUAAUGCUUAGGAAUCUGCCUAUUAGUGGGGGACAACACCUCGAAAGGGAUGCUAAUACCGCAUACGUCCUACGGGAGAAAGCAGGGGAUCACUUGUGACCUUGCGCUAAUAGAUGAGCCUAAGUCGGAUUAGCUAGUUGGUGGGGUAAAGGCCUACCAAGGCGACGAUCUGUAGCGGGUCUGAGAGGAUGAUCCGCCACACUGGGACUGAGACACGGCCCAGACUCCUACGGGAGGCAGCAGUGGGGAAUAUUGGACAAUGGGGGGAACCCUGAUCCAGCCAUGCCGCGUGUGUGAAGAAGGCCUUAUGGUUGUAAAGCACUUUAAGCGAGGAGGAGGCUCUUUUGGUUAAUACCCAAGAUGAGUGGACGUUACUCGCAGAAUAAGCACCGGCUAACUCUGUGCCAGCCGCCGCGGUAA